AACCGUUCAUCCUCGAAGGACGCAGCGGGCUCCGAGUCAAGGAUCGGGGCCGGAG
Molecule: non-coding RNA, 55 nt
Filed under: Triticum aestivum (bread wheat)
Lineage: Eukaryota; Viridiplantae; Streptophyta; Magnoliopsida; Poales; Poaceae
Description: Glutamine-II sequence
Rfam family: Glutamine-II riboswitch aptamer
About the family: The major groove of the PK provides the binding site for L-glutamine
Source: Rfam by way of RNAcentral